Molecule: long non-coding RNA, 597 nt
Filed under: Cricetulus griseus (Chinese hamster)
Lineage: Eukaryota; Metazoa; Chordata; Mammalia; Rodentia; Cricetidae
Description: lncRNA (ENSCGRG00015040803.1)
Source: RNAcentral
CAGCAACUCCAGAAUUCUUAGAACUGAAGAGACAACUCUGCCUCUCCCCUUUGGUUACCAAAGACUGGGUGCCUGGAAGAGCCUUCAUCCAGGAGCUCAUGGAAGUAGAAGCAGAUACCGACAGCUAAACACUGAACUGAACUGGAAUCUAGUUGCAGAGAAGGAGGAGUGAUGAGCAAAGUAGUCAAGACCAGGCUGGUGAAACACACAGAAACAGCUGACCUGAACAAGGGGGAGCUCAUGGUCCCCAGACUGAUAGCUGGGAAGCCAGCAUGGAACUGAUCCAGACCCCAUGAAUGUGGGUGUCAGUGAGGAGGCUUCAGAAAUCUAUGGGACCUCUUGUAGCAGAUCAGAACUUAUCCCUAGUUGUAGGAAUGGACUUUGGGAGCCCAUUUCACAUAGAGGAAUAGUCCCUCAAGUUAGACACAAUGGCCUAGGCCCUAUCCCAAAGGAUAUGACAGACUCUGAAGACCCCCCCUCAUGGAAGGCCUCACCCUCACUGGGGAGCAGUAUGGGAAUGGGAAAGGUAGGGUUUAGUGGGGUGGUAGGGAGGUGGGGAGGGAGAGAAAACUGGGUUUGACAUGUAAAAUAAUCUUG